UAGUAGUAGUGGUGGUGUUAGUACUAGUAGUAGUGGUGGUGUUAGUACUAGUAGGUAGUGGUGGUGUUAGUACUAGUAGGUAGUGGUGGUGUUAGUACUAGUAGGUAGUGGUGGUGUUAGUACUAGUAGGUAGUGGUGGUGUUAGUACUAGUAGGUAGUGGUGGUGUUAGUACUAGUAGGUAGUGGUGGUGUUAGUGCUAGUAGGUAGUGGUGGUGUUAGUGCUAGUAGGUAGUGGUGGUGUUAGUGCUAGUAGGUAGUGGUGGUGUUAGUGCUAGUAGGUAGUGGUGGUGUUAGUGCUAGUAGGUAGUGGUGGUGUUAGUGCUAGUAGGUAGUGGUGGUGUUAGUACUAGUAGGUAGUGGUGGUGUUAGUACUAGUAGGUAGUGGUGGUGUUAGUACUAGUAGGUAGUGGUGGUGUUAGUACUAGUAGGUAGUGGUGGUGUUAGUACUAGUAGGUAGUGGUGGUGUUAGUACUAGUAGGUAGUGGUGGUGUUAGUACUAGUAGGUAGUGGUGGUGUUAGUACUAGUAGGUAGUGGUGGUGUUAGUACUAGUAGGUAGUGGUGGUGUUAGUACUAGUAGUAGUGGUGGUGUUAGUACUAGUAGGUAGUGGUGGUGUUAGUACUAGUAGGUAGUGGUGGUGUUAGUGCUAGUAGGUAGUGGUGGUGUUAGUGCUAGUAGGUAGUGGUGGUGUUAGUGCUAGUAGGUAGUGGUGGUGUUAGUGCUAGUAGGUAGUGGUGGUGUUAGUGCUAGUAGGUAGUGGUGGUGUUAGUACUAGUAGGUAGUGGUGGUGUUAGUACUAGUAGGUAGUGGUGGUGUUAGUACUAGUAGGUAGUGGUGGUGUUAGUGCUAGUAGGUAGUGGUGGUGUUAGUGCUAGUAGGUAGUGGUGGUGUUAGUGCUA
Molecule: long non-coding RNA, 899 nt
Organism: Oncorhynchus keta (chum salmon)
Lineage: Eukaryota; Metazoa; Chordata; Actinopteri; Salmoniformes; Salmonidae
Exons: 5
Source: RefSeq, a predicted model, not a curated record